AAUAAGUGCAGCCAUGACUUUCAGCGCUCAAUUUUAAUCGUCCGUCUUAUUUGAAUUUUUUUUAUAAUUAGCAAUUUUGUUGUUAUAAGAUGAUAAAACAUGAAUACUACUUUACUUGUGACUUAUGAGUGGUCAAAGUUGGACAUGGAAAACCAUGGCUGCACUUAUU
Molecule: non-coding RNA, 169 nt
Organism: Oryza barthii
Lineage: Eukaryota; Viridiplantae; Streptophyta; Magnoliopsida; Poales; Poaceae
Source: Rfam